UACGGAGGGGACUAGCGUUGUUCGGAAUUACUGGGCGUAAAGCGCACGUAGGCGGAUUUGUAAGUCAGGGGUGAAAUCCCGAGGCUCAACCUCGGAACUGCACUUGAUACUGCAAAUCUCGAGUCCGGAAGAGGUGAGUGGAAUUCCUAGUGUAGAGGUGAAAUUCGUAGAUAUUAGGAAGAACACCAGUGGCGAAGGCGGCUCACUGGUCCGGUACUGACGCUGAGGUGCGAAAGCGUGGGGAGCAAACAGG
This 253-nucleotide ribosomal RNA is filed under the name uncultured bacterium. Its description in RNAcentral is "partial 16S ribosomal RNA". It matches the Rfam family "Bacterial small subunit ribosomal RNA", at positions 524 to 776 of the family's 1533-position model. The record is from RNAcentral.